GGCUCACAGCUGCCCUUGCUCCGACCCCAGAGGAGCUGUGUGGGAAGUUGGUGUCUCGGAGCCGCAGCGUGGCUCUGCCGAGUGUCUGGAGCCCGGGCUGUGCACACAAACUGAUAAAUAGGGAAAGGCCUGCUGGGCUGCAGCUGGAGCAGAGCUGGGACCGGCACGGGAGAGGAGCUCCUGCAAGCACCGUGAGUAUUUCAUUCCUUCUCUGCAUGCUCUGAGGUUAGAAAUUGCUGCUCAAGCUAUACUGCAGUUUGCCAUGUGAAAAUAUUCCAGGCACUGUGCUUUUUUUCUUCUUUACCUCCUUUUUUCUUUCUUUUUAAACAUCUGACUAAAUGAAAACAACAAACGUGCACUUUUAAAUCUCGUAUUUUCUACUGCCAAGGGUUUGUUCCAACAGUACUUCAUUUGACACACACAGUGAAGAAAAACAACUUUUAAAUUUAAUCAUUUGUUUCCCUUCCCAAAAGUACCUAGAAAAUUGUGAGUUUCAAGCAACCUCUAACCUCUUAUUUUAGCAUGUAUAAAAAUUAUGCUUUUGAAAUAAUUAUUCAUGGAAUAACAAUUCCAAAGGAAAAUUUCAAGAUAAUUGCAAUGUAGUCCAUUGGUAAAAUAAGCCAGUUCCUAUUAUAAUUAUUAUAUGGAAUAUAAUAACCAGGAAGGAACACAUUUAAUAAGAAGAAAAAUGGAAUUUCUUCAAAAAGGAGUUUGGGGAUCUUCUUGGCACAUUAAAACCAGGAAGAGCAGAAAAACCUUUAAUAAUGCAUGUAAGCUGCAUACAGGAUCAAUCAAGUGAUCCUACAAUUUUCCCUGCAAAAUCAUUAUUUAAUUAAGCAGUGAUUACUGAAUUGCUUGAGUGUAAUUAAAUAGAUUAGCUGGCAUCACACCUACUUGGCACUGAUUAUGCUCAGUUAUGGUUUUUUUUUCAGUUUUUGGCUUAAAUUUUCACAAAAUAAAAAAAAAAUAAGCUUUGCCUUCCAGCUGCAAGCAAAGUACAGCGAUUAAACCUGAGCCUGAAACGUGCUGAGUUCCACUACGUGACCACUAACGUGCCCCAAGGUGUGCUAAAUAGAUGGUGAAGACCUUCAGCUCAAGUUCCUAAAAUUCCCUGUAAACAAGAAAUUUCCCCAUGACUCAACUGUCAAAAUAUUUACGAUAGCAGCUAAAGCACUGUCAGUCCCAACCUCUGAAAGGGCUCCCUGUAGCUUUGCUACAUGAAGGAUGUUUUGUAUCCCAAUAAAUUUGAUAAGUUGAUGAUAUGUUGCUUUAUGAUAUGGGGUUUUAUAGCAAUAAAAAUGAUAAACCCCACAUCUUUCACCAUAAAUAGAAAUAAAUAGAUGUACAGUUCAGAUUCUAGUCUGAACGUGUACAUUCUAUUUAUAGUUCUACUUUACUUCUAUCAAUCAAUGGCUUUUUUUUUUUCUUUAGUGGAUCCCAUUUUUGAUAAGUUGUCAAGCAUUUCAGUUGGGACUAAGAACUAAAUUUCUGCAUGAGGUGGAUAACCAAGCCCUUGAACCAACAUGUUGUGGUUUAUACUGAACAUUUGUUGUUCAGAAGAUGAGCACUGGCAAAACUAAGCCUGUAAAAGCACAUUUUCAAACGUGCUUAAGCUACCUUGAGUGUAGGUCACCUUUUCCAAAAAACACCAUUCCCCUCACCUGCUCAGGACUUCACAAGUGAAAAUGCCCAGCAGUAGAAGGAGAAGCAGGAACAGCAUGUGCUUUACACAGAUGACAUUUUCUGUCAGCUCAGUCUCUGUGACUCAGGGCUCA
This is a long non-coding RNA of Taeniopygia guttata (zebra finch), 1775 nucleotides long. The record is from Ensembl. Lineage: Eukaryota; Metazoa; Chordata; Aves; Passeriformes; Estrildidae.